Molecule: transfer RNA, 71 nt
Filed under: Loxodonta africana (African savanna elephant)
Lineage: Eukaryota; Metazoa; Chordata; Mammalia; Proboscidea; Elephantidae
Rfam family: tRNA
About the family: Transfer RNA (tRNA) molecules are approximately 80 nucleotides in length. Their secondary structure includes four short double-helical elements and three loops (D, anti-codon, and T loops).
Source: Rfam by way of RNAcentral
GCAUUGGUGGUUCAGUGGUAGAAUUCUCCUCUUCCAUGCAGGAGACUUGGGUUCGAUUCCUGGCCAAUGGA